This 58-nucleotide transfer RNA is filed under the name Tachaea chinensis. RNAcentral describes it as "tRNA-Ala". The record is from RNAcentral. Lineage: Eukaryota; Metazoa; Arthropoda; Malacostraca; Isopoda; Corallanidae.
AAACUCAUAGUUUAAUGAAAACAUAUAAAUUGCACUUAUAAAUUGAUAUCUCUGAGAG